This 1362-nucleotide long non-coding RNA is filed under the name Oryzias sinensis (Chinese medaka). RNAcentral describes it as "lncRNA (ENSOSIG00000011117.1)". Lineage: Eukaryota; Metazoa; Chordata; Actinopteri; Beloniformes; Adrianichthyidae. The record is from RNAcentral.
UCGGACAGUCCAGAAGAUCAGCCAAGUACUGGAAUUUUGGGCCGUAUUGGUUACUGGUUGUCUCCGUGGAGGGGAAGAGCUUCUGUGCCACCUUCUGAAAAUGACUCUUCAAGUGGUAGUUUUGCUGAUGAAACAGGAGGGGAGGAUGGUGAGGAAUCAGUGAGAAUCCCGGACAGAGAGGAGCAGGAGACAUAUUCAAACUUAGAGAAUUUUCUCCCGUGUGAAGAGGAGAACGCCACGCAGUCUGCCCACAGACACUACACUGCAGAGAGCAGCAGAAGAGGAGGAGGAGGUCCAAAAGAGGAGGAGCUUGUGGUGUGCCGGGAGCACAAAACAGGGCAGGGCAACGAGAGGGAGGAGAGAGGCAGCGGUGCUUCAGAAAGUGGGAAUCAUGUGAAGAAUGUCUGUCAUCUGACAAAUCUCUUUACCUCUACACCAGAAGUGGUGUGGAACUUUGACCAGGACCCCACCCAGCCUCGCCCACCACAGCACGCACAGGUUCAGUCUGAUAAGAGGCUCCAUGUGUACUUAGAGGAGACCAGUGUCAUACACUGUGGCAAAGAUUUGAGUGUGGGGCAGGAAGUUGUCACAACCACAUUUAAAAAAGAUCUGCACGUUCCUCCCAAGGCUAAGUCAUCUUCUAAUUUAGCUGCAAAUGCAGAGUUAAAUGCGAGAUCUGCUGCUGGAGUGCAGAGUUCUGACAGCACUGUAGUGGGAGUGUCAGUGAAGCCACCGGAAGACUCGCAGUCGGAGCCUCAUAAGGAACAAACAGAGGAAGACGGCAUGGGUCGAAAAAGCAGAAAAAAAUUAAGGAGAAAAUCCCAAGGAGACGGAGGAAGCAGACUCUCAGAAAACCCUGCAGAGGACCCCUCAUCAUGUAACUCAGUGUCCAGUCCCCAAAGCGAAAAUCCAACUUCCCCCACAGGGGAGGCAUGUGAAGGCCCCUCCUUCAAGACAAACUCCACCUCACAGGCCGCACCUGAAGAAGGAGGGCAAAUUGAAACUGUUUGUCCAGGCGACGUAAAACAGUUGGGCAACCUCAGGAAUUCAAUCUCUGUCACUGCAGCCACUAACGCAUGUGAAGAGAAUGAAGGUGCCGAAAUGGAGGAAGAAAGCAGUUUAUACAAGGUAGAGAGGAAGACAGAAACGCCGGAGUCAAAACGGAGGAGUAUCAAAGUUUCUACCUGUGAAGUGAAGAAUUAUUCAAAAGUUCUGCCUUUAAAUCAGAAGCAGAAUCAACUGGAAAACCACCAGGAAACGAAUGCAGAACGUUUGACCACCGAAGAUGAAGAAAAGAACCAGGCGGGAACCUUUUUGGACUCAAGGUAUGUCAAAGUUCCAAUGGCGAACAAUUUGCUUUAA